Molecule: ribosomal RNA, 595 nt
Filed under: uncultured Bacteroidota bacterium
Lineage: Bacteria; Pseudomonadati; Bacteroidota
Description: bacterial SSU rRNA
Rfam family: Bacterial small subunit ribosomal RNA
Source: RNAcentral
CAACCUGCCUAUAACUAGGGAAUAACCUUGCGAAAGUAAGACUAAUACCCUAUGAUUUCCUUUGAUGGCAUCAGAUUAGGAAUAAAGAUUUAUCGGUCAUAGAUGGGGAUGCGUCUGAUUAGCUUGUUGGCGGGGUAACGGCCCACCAAGGCAACGAUCAGUAGGGGUUCUGAGAGGAAGGUCCCCCACAUUGGAACUGAGACACGGUCCAAACUCCUACGGGAGGCAGCAGUGAGGAAUAUUGGUCAAUGGGCGGAAGCCUGAACCAGCCAAGUGGCGUGCAGGAUGACGGCCCUAUGGGUUGUAACCUGCUUUUAUACAGGAAUAAAGUUAGCCACGUGUGGUUAUUUGUAGGUACUGUAUGAAUAAGGACCGGCUAAUUCCGUGCCAGCAGCCGCGGUAAUACGGAAGGUCCAGGCGUUAUCCGGAUUUAUUGGGUUUAAAGGGAGCGUAGGCCGUCUGUUAAGCGUGUUGUGAAAUGUAGAUGCUCAACAUCUGAAUUGCAGCGCGAACUGGCAGACUUGAGUGUGCGCAACGUANGCGGAAUUCGUGGUGUAGCGGUGAAAUGCUUAGAUAUCACGAAGAACUCCGAUUG